This 68-nucleotide transfer RNA is filed under the name Niviventer cremoriventer (dark-tailed tree rat). Its description in RNAcentral is "tRNA-Trp". Lineage: Eukaryota; Metazoa; Chordata; Mammalia; Rodentia; Muridae. The record is from RNAcentral.
AGAAGUUUAGGAUAUGUACAGUCCGGGGGCCUUCAAAGCCCUUAGAAAACAAGCAAGUUUAACUUCUG